CAAGCAGUGGAGCAUGUGGUUUAAUUCGAAGCAACGCGAAGUAACCUUACCAGGUCUUGACAUCCCGAUGCUUAUUUCUAGAGAUAGAAAGUUACUUCGGUACAUCGGUGACAGGUGGUGCAUGGUUGUCGUCAGCUCGUGUCGUGAGAUGUUGGGUUAAGUCCCGCAACGAGCGCAACCCCUAUUGUUAGUUGCCAUCAUUCAGUUGGGCACUCUAGCGAGACUGCCGGUAAUAAACCGGAGGAAGUGGGGAUGACGUCGAAUCAUCAUGCCCCUUAUGGCCUGGGCUACACACGUGCUACAAUGGUUGGUACAACGAGUUGCGAGUCGGUGACGGCGAGCUAAUCUCUUAAAGCCAAUCUCAGUUCGGAUUGUAGGCUGCAACUCGCCUACAUGAAGUCGGAAUCGCUAGUAAUCGCGGAUCAGCACGCCGCGGUGAAUACGUUCCCGGGCCUU
This 456-nucleotide ribosomal RNA is filed under the name uncultured Streptococcus sp. RNAcentral describes it as "bacterial SSU rRNA". It matches the Rfam family "Bacterial small subunit ribosomal RNA", at positions 926 to 1382 of the family's 1533-position model. The record is from RNAcentral. Lineage: Bacteria; Bacillati; Bacillota; Bacilli; Lactobacillales; Streptococcaceae.